GCACCCCAGCAAUUUCAAGAUGUCAACCAUGUCUAUCCUGGAAUUUCUGCUAGCGUUGAUGAUAUGUGCUUCAAUUCUACCUGCGAAAGCAGAAGAAAGGGCAGCAGUCGCAUCAACAGCAGCUGCUCCUGGAGUUUCUUGGUGGUCCGGGAAUCGUUUCGCAAGGAAGUGGUGCCGCAAGAACGAGGAAUACAAGGAGUGCCAGAGCAGCAGUUGCGGCGAGUGGAAAUGCUCGUUCUUGUAUAGAGGCUGGCCCGAUGGAUGCACAAUGGACUGCGAAACGGGAUGUUUCUGUAAGCAUGGUUACUUCAGAAACAGCAACAACAAAUGUGUAAAAGGGUGGAAAUGCUUCAGAGAAUUCAACUUGUACCGACCUUCUCUCUCCGAGUAGUGCUGAAGACACCAUGCAAGGACUUUUCAUCCGAAGCCAUUCACUUGAGGGAACAGAAAGCAAGCGAUAAAUUCUGAUGAUUCAAAUAUGGGGCAAGAAAUGCAAACGAAAAUAGGCAAUAUUGUAUUCUUCACUACAGAAAAAUGCAUAUUAAAGAGAACUGCACAUUUGUUGAAUAAAGAUAACUUGAACUUA
Dermacentor andersoni is the source of this 586-nucleotide long non-coding RNA. RefSeq lists it as uncharacterized. The record is from RefSeq and is a predicted model, not a curated record. NCBI's taxonomy places the organism in Eukaryota, Metazoa, Arthropoda, Arachnida, Ixodida, Ixodidae.